AUGUGGUUAAGUUACUAAGGGCACACGGUGGAUGCCUUGGCGCUAGGAGCCGAAGAAGGACGCAGCGAACUGCGAUAAGCCUCGGGGAGCGGUAAGCACGCUUUGAUCCGGGGAUCUCCGAAUGGGGCAACCCACCAUCUGUAAUGGGAUGGUAUCCUUCACUGAAUACAUAGGUGAUGAGAAGGCAGACCCGGUGAACUGAAACAUCUAAGUAGCCGGAGGAAGAGAAAACAAUAGUGAUUCCGU
Molecule: ribosomal RNA, 246 nt
Filed under: Brevibacillus parabrevis
Lineage: Bacteria; Bacillati; Bacillota; Bacilli; Caryophanales; Paenibacillaceae
Description: partial 23S ribosomal RNA
Rfam family: Bacterial large subunit ribosomal RNA
Source: RNAcentral